GCAAUUUUAUUUCAAACUUCUAUUCUCAUUCAAGACUGCAUCACAUAUCAAUGUGGAAGUGUGAAUUGACUGAGUUUGUCAAUACCCUACAGAGACAAAGUAAUGGUAUCUUUCCAGGAAGGGAAAAGUUAAAAAAAAUGAAAACAGGCAGGUCUGCACUUGUUGUAACUGACACAGGAUUUGUGUAUCUUAGAGGACCAGACGAACAGGCUAAGGGUGAGACUGAUAAUAGAGGAAAGCUCUGCUUGUGCCUGGAUUAGGGUUAAAAUGACCCUGAUGAAUCUGUGUAGCUCAGGAUGAUUAGAAGCUUUUGUCCUUAGGAGAUAUGUCAUUAUUGAAUUCUCCCAGACAUCAGAGCUGUAUAAUGCAUGUUGAUAUGGAUUGCUUCUUUGUAUCAGUGGGUAUACGAAAUAGACCAGAUCUCA
RNAcentral lists this small RNA (425 nucleotides) under Pongo abelii (Sumatran orangutan). RNAcentral's name for it is "processed transcript". The record is from RNAcentral. Lineage: Eukaryota; Metazoa; Chordata; Mammalia; Primates; Hominidae.